Molecule: ribosomal RNA, 398 nt
Filed under: uncultured bacterium
Lineage: Bacteria
Description: partial 16S ribosomal RNA
Rfam family: Bacterial small subunit ribosomal RNA
Source: RNAcentral
AUACGUAGGGUGCGAGCGUUGUCCGGAAUUACUGGGCGUAAAGAGCUCGUAGGUGGUUUGUCGCGUCGUCUGUGAAAUUCCGGGGCUUAACUCCGGGCGUGCAGGCGAUACGGGCAUAACUUGAGUACUGUAGGGGAGACUGGAAUUCCUGGUGUAGCGGUGAAAUGCGCCGAUAUCAGGAGGAACCCCGGAGGCGAAGGCGGGUUCCUGGGCAGUAACUGACGCUGAGGAGCGAAGGCAUGGGUGGAGGAAAGACUUGGAUCCCCUGGAGUUCCAGGCCGUGAAGGGAGGGCUCUAGGUGUAGGGAUCUUCCACGCCUUCUGUGCCGUAGCUCAAGCAUUAAGCGCCCCGCCUGGGGAGUACGGCCGCAAGGCUAAAACUCAAAUGAAUUGACGUGG